RNAcentral lists this ribosomal RNA (253 nucleotides) under uncultured bacterium. RNAcentral's name for it is "partial 16S ribosomal RNA". It matches the Rfam family "Bacterial small subunit ribosomal RNA", at positions 524 to 776 of the family's 1533-position model. The record is from RNAcentral.
UACGUAGGGCGCAAGCGUUGUCCGGAAUUAUUGGGCGUAAAGAGCUCGUAGGCGGUUUGUCGCGUCGGAUGUGAAAGCCCGGGGCUUAACCCCGGGUCUGCAUUCGAUACGGGCAGACUAGAGUGUGGUAGGGGAGAUCGGAAUUCCUGGUGUAGCGGUGAAAUGCGCAGAUAUCAGGAGGAACACCGGUGGCGAAGGCGGGUCUCUGGGCCGAUAUUGACGCUGAGGAGCGAAAGCGUGGGGAGCGAACAGG